Molecule: ribosomal RNA, 497 nt
Filed under: uncultured bacterium
Lineage: Bacteria
Description: partial 16S ribosomal RNA
Rfam family: Bacterial small subunit ribosomal RNA
Source: RNAcentral
GAUGAACGCUGGCGGCGUGCCUAAUACAUGCAAGUCGAGCGAACGGACGAGGAGCUUGCUUCUCUGACGUUAGCGGCGGACGGGUGAGUAACACGUGGAUAACCUACCUAUAAGACUGGGAUAACUUCGGGAAACCGGAGCUAAUACCGGAUGAUAUUUUGAACCGCAUGGUUCAAUAGUGAAAGACGGUUUUGCUGUCACUUAUAGAUGGAUCCGCGCUGCAUUAGCUAGUUGGUAAGGUAACGGCUUACCAAGGCAACGAUGCAUAGCCGACCUGAGAGGGUGAUCGGCCACACUGGAACUGAGACACGGUCCAGACUCCUACGGGAGGCAGCAGUAGGGAAUCUUCCGCAAUGGGCGAAAGCCUGACGGAGCAACGCCGCGUGAGUGAUGAAGGUCUUCGGAUCGUAAAACUCUGUUAUUAGGGAAGAACAUAUGUGUAAGUAACUGUGCACGUCUUGACGGUACCUAAUCAGAAAGCCACGGCUAACUACGUG